GACGAACGCUGGCGGCGUGCUUAACACAUGCAAGUCGAACGAAGUGGCGAACGGGUGAGUAACGCGUAAUCAACCUGCCCUUCAGAGGGGGACAACAGUUGGAAACGACUGCUAAUACCUCAUACUGAAGGAGGGGAUUGCGUCUGAUUGGCUGGUUGGAGGGGUAACGGCCCACCAAGGCGAUGAUCAGUAGGCGGUCUGGGAGGAUGAACGGCCACCUUGGGACUGAGACACGGUCCAGACUCCUACGGGAGGCAGCAGUGGGGGAUAUUGCAACAUGGGGGGAAGUCUGGCGGCGCAACGCCGGGUGAGGGAUGACGGCCUUCGGGUUGUAAAGCUCUGUUAAUCGGGACGCGGUACCGGAAUAGAAAGCAACGGCUAACUACGUGCCAGCAGCCGCGGUAAUAC
This 408-nucleotide ribosomal RNA is filed under the name uncultured bacterium. Its description in RNAcentral is "partial 16S ribosomal RNA". It matches the Rfam family "Bacterial small subunit ribosomal RNA", at positions 28 to 526 of the family's 1533-position model. The record is from RNAcentral.